UAGGGGAGCGUUCUGUAAGCCUGCGAAGGUGUGCUGUGAGGCAUGCUGGAGGUAUCAGAAGUGCGAAUGCUGACAUAAGCAACGAUAAAGCGGGUGAAAAGCCCGCUCGCCGGAAGACCAAGGGUUCCUGUCCAACGGUAAUCGGGGCAGGGUGAGUCGACCCCUAAGGCGAGGCCGAAAGGCGUAGUCGAUGGGAAACAGGGUAAUAUUCCUGUACUUGGUGUUACUGCGAAGGGGGGACGGAGAAGGCUAUGUUAGCCGGGCGACGGUUGUCCCGGUUUAAGCAUGUAGGCUGGUUAUCC
RNAcentral lists this ribosomal RNA (302 nucleotides) under Klebsiella pneumoniae. RNAcentral's name for it is "partial 23S ribosomal RNA". It matches the Rfam family "Bacterial large subunit ribosomal RNA", at positions 1229 to 1534 of the family's 2925-position model. The record is from RNAcentral. Lineage: Bacteria; Pseudomonadati; Pseudomonadota; Gammaproteobacteria; Enterobacterales; Enterobacteriaceae.